RNAcentral lists this long non-coding RNA (882 nucleotides) under Solanum tuberosum (potato). Its description in RNAcentral is "long non-coding RNA (STUB_LNC000118)". The record is from RNAcentral. Lineage: Eukaryota; Viridiplantae; Streptophyta; Magnoliopsida; Solanales; Solanaceae.
CAAGAAUGAAAACAACAAACUUAAUAAAAUAAAAUAAAAUAACUACAAACAGUAACAUGAAAACAUUUAUCAAAAGAAAAUAAGAAUAAAAUGCUGAAAAAUAGAUAGAGAUAUAUAUAUUAAAAUGUGAAAUUAAGAUGGUCACCAGAGCUUGGAGUCACGCCGGAGUUGGUUUGCGUCGGAUAUGGAGCCACACCGAAACUAGAGUUUGGGGUUGUUGUUUUCCACUGUGUGAGCUCGGGGCUCACUGGUUUUCAGAGCUAAAUAGCUCGCUGGUUAGAGUUCUGGUUCGUCGGCGUUGAUGGAACACCUGCAAAGACAAACAAGAAUCAAAAAUAGAAAAGGGAAAAGGGGAGGGGAUGGAUUGUCCCUGUUGUUUCGGUUUGCUGUUGUUGUGAUGGGUUUUGGGAGAACGAUGAAUCGUUUGGUUGGCUGCUCUGUUGCGUUGGUCGCUGGAAAACAGUUGGGUUUUUGAGGUCGUUUUGGUGUUGGGUUGAUAGUUGCUGGAGCCAAAAACUCGCUGGAGCUCGGGACUGCCGGUUUCAAGUGUUUUUCCGGAGGUUUAGUGGUGGUGGUUGGUUGUUUUCUGGUUGGUUUUUGGUGGAGCUUUGAGGUCUGGUUGGAGAAUCGGGUGGAAUUUGGAUUGUUGGGGUCUGGUUGUUGUUUGUUAGAUCUAGUGGUUUGGGGGUUUAUUGAGGGAGAACGGAGAAGAAAGAACAGGGGGUUGAGGGCUAGUUGUUUGGGGAGAAAGAAAAGUAAAAUGGGUGUUUGGUGGUCAUGGUUGCUGGCCGGAAACGGAAAUGGAAAAGGAAGGGCUGGUGGCAGUGAUUUGUAGCUGCUGGUCUUUGUUUGCUGGAGAAAAAUGAGAGAAAAAAAAUGGGG